GCUAGGCGUGGAGGUGCAUGCCUGUAAUCCCAGCAGCUUGGGAGGCUGAGGCAGGAGGAUUAUAAAUUCAAGAGCAGCCUCAG
This 83-nucleotide small RNA is filed under the name Marmota monax (woodchuck). The record is from RNAcentral. Lineage: Eukaryota; Metazoa; Chordata; Mammalia; Rodentia; Sciuridae.